Molecule: ribosomal RNA, 568 nt
Filed under: uncultured bacterium
Lineage: Bacteria
Description: partial 16S ribosomal RNA
Rfam family: Bacterial small subunit ribosomal RNA
Source: RNAcentral
UGGGGAAUUUUGGACAAUGGGGGAAACCCUGAUCCAGCCAUCCCGCGUGUGCGAUGAAGGCCUUCGGGUUGUAAAGCACUUUUGGCAGGAAAGAAGCGUCGCGGGUUAAUACCCCGCGAAACUGACGGUACCUGCAGAAUAAGCACCGGCUAACUACGUGCCAGCAGCCGCGGUAAUACGUAGGGUGCAAGCGUUAAUCGGAAUUACUGGGCGUAAAGCGUGCGUAGGCGGUUCGGAAAGAAAGAUGUGAAAUCCCAGAGCUUAACUUUGGAACUGCAUUUUUUAACUACCGGGCUAGAGUGUGUCAGAGGGAGGUGGAAUUCCGCGUGUAGCAGUGAAAUGCGUAGAUAUGCGGAGGAACACCGAUGGCGAAGGCAGCCUCCUGGGAUAACACUGACGCUCAUGCACGAAAGCGUGGGGAGCAAACAGGAUUAGAUACCCUGGUAGUCCACGCCCUAAACGAUGUCAACUAGCUGUUGGGGCCUUCGGGCCUUGGUAGCGCAGCUAACGCGUGAAGUUGACCGCCUGGGGGAGUACGGUCGCAAGAUUAAAACUCAAAUGAAUUGAC